Molecule: ribosomal RNA, 257 nt
Filed under: uncultured bacterium
Lineage: Bacteria
Description: partial 16S ribosomal RNA
Rfam family: Bacterial small subunit ribosomal RNA
Source: RNAcentral
UACGUAGGGUGCAAGCGUUAAUCGGAAUUACUGGGCGUAAAGCGUGCGCAGGCGGUUUUGUAAGUCUGUCGUGAAAUCCCCGGGCUCAACCUGGGAAUUGCGAUGGAGACUGCAAGGCUUGAAUCUGGCAGAGGGGGGUAGAAUUCCACGUGUAGCAGUGAAAAUGCGUAGAGAUGUGGAGGAACACCGAUGGCGAAGGCAGCCCCCCUGGGUCAAGAUUGACGCUCAUGCACGAAAAGCGUGGGGGAGCAAACAGG